Molecule: long non-coding RNA, 4350 nt
Filed under: Sus scrofa (pig)
Lineage: Eukaryota; Metazoa; Chordata; Mammalia; Artiodactyla; Suidae
Description: lncRNA (ENSSSCG00055012928.1)
Source: RNAcentral
UUUUUUUUUUUUUUUUUUUUUUUUUCCCUUUUUUUCUCCUGGGCUGUUCAGCAUCCAGGAGUCCCAGUGCCGGGAGCUUUUAAUGUGUUUGUUGUAAAACUGUCAGCCAGGGAGUCACAACACAGCUCACAGUGACAGGAGCCUGAGUGUGACUCAGACAUCAGGUAAGACAGGCCCCAGGGUCGGGGAGCGGGGAGGAAGAGGGCUCCAGAGGGCUUGUGGGGAGGGGGGUGGUGUCUCAUCUCCUGUCUCAGGAGGUGGAGGGCCAGAGCCUUAGGGGACCCAGCAGAAUCCCCAUCAAUCAUUAUCAGGGAUGGCGGGCCUGCCUGGAGCUGGCAGUACCAAGCAGCGUGAUGAGUGGGGGCGGGGCAGGGUGCCAGCUUGAUUUUCCCAGGCUUGUGACCUGUUCCCAAACCUGGCCCUCCCCGCUGCUGACCCCAGAGAACCCCAGCAUUUGCAGCUGAUGGACCUGUAGGCACCACGGAGCCUAGGUUUCCCGUGCUCUUCCCAUGAAAAGGUUGAGGGGGGCAGGGCCCACACUCUGUGUAGCAUCAGUUGACCAAGAGGAGAAAGAACCAAAUGAAAAGAUUCUUGCAGAAGGCAGGUCUAGGUCCACACCCAGGAGUAAUUACCACUUACCUGAUCAAAGCACCGUGCAAUUACAAAGGGCUCUCCCUUCCACUGUCUCUUCUUCGGGCCCAGCCAUCCUGGAAACCCGUAGCCCUUUCGUUUCUUCUGUAGGUGAGGAACUCAACACCCUGGCGGGGUGGGGACUAAAAUCACUGCACCACAGCCACAUUCAUUGAGCUUUCACUGUAUGGCGGGCUUACAAUGGCCCUAGGAAGCAGGCAUUUCUAGUAUCCUGAUGGUAUAGGCGAAACCAGAGCUUGGAGGCAUUGGGUAACUUGGAUAAGGUCACGCAGCUAGUAAGUCCUGAGGCACACUUGGACCCAGAGUCCAGGCUUCAGGAUGGGGAUGCAAGGUCACCUGACCCCAGACCCAGGCUCCGUCCUGUCCCAACGGCAGCCAUUGUCCUUUAGCCUUAAAGAUCCUUUUGUUGGCUUAUUGUUCUGAGCCUGGGCUCUCUCUCCCUAUUCUCCGAACAAACAACUGCAUAAGGGGUCAGAGGGAGGCAGGGCUUGGAUGUGGUCAGCUAAGGCCUGGAGCUGCCCUUUGCUGGGAAGCGGGGGUGGGGGUGGGUGGGGGUGGGGGGGGUGGGAAAGGACAGGAGCCCUUAGGCCAAGGCCUGGGUCCAUUUUAAUAAGUGAUGUAUUAAAAUAUUCCUGUCGGAGGCCACCCCAUCAGCCGACGUAGGAUCUUUUCCCUGGGAAGGCAAAAUCCGCCUUUCCCAAGGACUCCAUUCAGCAACGGAAGGAUAUAAAUCUUUUAAAUAUACUCCAACACAGGGGUAAAUGCUUGUUGAGAAGGCACUUUGGGCACUGGGCAGAUACCAAAUUCUACCAAGUACAGGAUAUGUUUGAAGUAUCUGGUUAGGGAACAAUAAAUACGGAAAAAGCCAUUCAAAGUCCUCGGUGGGGGAGGGUGUCUCGAAGCCUCCAGAUAUCGAUCGAGCAUUCAGGGCUGCAUUAUUCAAACUUUCCUAAUUGAAUGCUUGUAAUAAGCAUCCAUCUCCCUGGAUUCUGCUUCCUUGUCCUGUCCAGGCGACAGCCCGAAGGAAUAUUGAAAAGUACCUAUAAGGGGGAAAUAGGCAUAUUAAGUUUUAAAAGAAAGAGACUUGAAAAUUACUGCGGUCUGGAGGCCACGGAUGAGGGAACAAGCACAGGUGCCUCUGUGGAGGGCAGGCAGUUGGGGGGGGCCCCUCAGGGCCCAGCAACCUUGGCUUCAGCCUGGCUGGUGGGCCCGUGGAAGGCACGGGUUUGGGACUUUGACCCCUUGAAUUUGAAACCUUUCUUAUGUCUUUUCUAUAGUUGGAACUUGAAGCCAGUUUCUCCAGCUCUUUGGGCCUCUGUCUCUUCUUCUGGAAAAUGGGGAUGGCUGACAAUGCCUCCUGAAAAAGGAUUAAAAGAGAACUCUGUCUCCUUCCGGGCACAGGGCCUGGUCAUAUAGAUGGUAGGCAUCAGAGGAACACACUUAAAGUGCCUACUGUGUGCCAGGCAAUGGCUAUUCACGAACUAGCAAACAAUCUGUGGCACAUGAAGCUUUGCAGAUGGCUUUUGGCAGCCCGGAGCUGACACCCCAAGGGGACAGAGGGGCAGUGGAGGCGUCACCUGGGGGUGGGGGGUGGGGGGUGGGGUGUGGAUUUAGCUUGCCCCUCAUUAUCCCCAAAGGCCUCCAGUCAAUACAGUCCUAAGUAAACCUGCAUGCCUGCUCUCCAAAGGCGGUUGAGAGAAGUCUCCUACCCCCUCUAACCAGAAGCCUUCCUUCUCUGAAUGGAGACCACCGGGUGCUGGGUUCUUGCCCUGGGAUGAAGGAGCUGGUCUUUCUGCUUGUAUCCCCUCUGUCGACAGGUCCUCCUUGAGUUUCAUUUGACAAAUACAGACUUAGCACCGACUUUGGGCCAGGUCCUGUGCUGGCUAACUGGGUAUCAAUGGUGAGGACAUGGGAGUUUUCCCUGGGCUUGAAAAUGAUGAUAGUUGCCAUGGCAAUGAGGUUGGGAGCUAGGAGCUUGGAUAGUCCCCACAUCAGCUGCUCAGGUCCUCCAAGCUUGCAGAAAGAGGAACCAAAGAGAACUAGGUCUUGAGGACUGCCUGAAACCUCAACAUUUUUUAUGUAUUAUUAUUAUUUUCUUUUUACGGCUGCACCUGCAGCAUAUAGAAGUUCCCAGGCUAGGAGUUCCAUUGGAGCUGCUGCUGCAGGCCUGGCCACAGCCACAGCAACACCAGAUCUGAGCUGCUUCUGGGACCUACAAGGCAGCUGCGGCAACACUGGAUCCUGUACCGAGCGAGGCCAGUGAUCAAACCUGCAUCCUCGCAAACAUUAUGUGUUCCCAACAUUCUGAGCCACAAUGGGAACUCCAAACACUUUUUUUUAAAAAAUAAACUUUUAAUUUAGAAUAGUUUUAGGUUUACAGGGAAGUGGUGAAGGUUUUACAGACUUGCCAUAUACCCCGACCCGUUUCUCCCAUUGUUAACAUCUGACAUCUGUUUGCUGUUCACAGCUAAGGAACCAACAUGGGCGCAGUUCUGCUCACUGAACUUCACUGUUCAUUUGGAUAGCCUUUGUUUUUACCUAAUGUUCUUUUUCUGUUCCAGGGUUCCAUCCAGGAUACCAUAUUAAAUUAAUCAUGUCUCCUUAAGCUCCCCUUGGCGGUGAUCAUGUCUCAGAUUUUCCCUGUUUGUUUUUCUUUAUCUUUUUAGGGCCACACCCACAGCAUAGGGAGGUUCCCAGGCUAGGGGUCAAAUCGGAGCUGUAGCCACCCACCUACGCGAGAGCCACAGCAACGUGGGAUCCGAGCCGCAUCUGCAACCUACACCACAGCUCAUGGCAACGCUGGAUCCUCGACCCACUGAGCAAGGCCAGGGAUCAAAACCGCAACCUCGUGGUUCCUAGUCAGAUUCGUUAACCACUGAGCCAUGACGGGAACUCCCUGGUCAGGUAUUUUAUAGGCUUUCCUUCCAUUGGGGUUUGAUGUUUUCUCUCAUGUUUCAACUGGGGUUAUGGGUUUGGGGAGGAAGAUCAUGGAGGUAAAUAAAGUGCCAUUCUCAUCACAUCCUAUCAAGGGCACAGUGCUGUCACCAUGACUGAUCACUGUGGCUGCUGGCCUUGAUCAUCCCGCUGAGGGAGUGUUUGUCAGGUUUCUCGACUGCAAAGUUAUUCUGGUCCUCCCCGUUUCCAUACAGUCCUCUUUGGAAGGAAAUCAUUACAGCCUUGAAAGGGGUGGAACGUCAUGGUCCUACUCCAUAAAUUACUGGGAUUUUUCUACCCAGGCGAUGCAAGUGGCCCAUUAUUUUUAUUUUUAAAAUUUUUUUGUCUUUUUGCCUUUUCUUGGGCUGCUCCCACGGCAUAUGGAGGUUCCCAGGCAAGGGGUUGAAUCGGAGCUGUAGCCACCGGCCUAUGCCAGAGCCACAGCAAUGCAGGAUCUGAGCCGCGUCUGCUACCUACAACACAGCUCAUGGCAACACCGGAUCCUUAACCCACUGAGCAAGGCCAGGGAUUGAACCCACAACCUCAUGGUUCCUCUUCGGAUUCGUUAACCACUGGGCCAGGACAGGAACUCCGAGAGUGACCCAUUUUUCAGUCGUUCAAUUUUGCCCCUAUAUUGGGCGGGCCCACUGUGGUUUAGAUGCAAUCGUGAGUUCCAGGCAACCCGGGGUGGGGGGAAAACACAAAUGCCCACAAGACCCAAGUGCUGUCUGAUGACUGAUAGAGUCUGACAAAAAAAAAAAAAAA